UACGGAGGGUGCAAGCGUUAAUCGGAAUUACUGGGCGUAAAGCGCGCGUAGGCGGCUUUGCAAGUCGGGUGUGAAAUCCCCAGGCUUAACCUGGGAACUGCAUUCGAGACUGCAUUGCUAGAGUAUGGGAGAGGGAAGUGGAAUUUCAGGUGUAGCGGUGAAAUGCGUAGAUAUCUGAAGGAACAUCAGUGGCGAAAGCGACUUCCUGGACCAAUACUGACGCUCAUGUGCGAAAGCGUGGGGAGCAAACAGG
This 253-nucleotide ribosomal RNA is filed under the name uncultured bacterium. RNAcentral describes it as "partial 16S ribosomal RNA". It matches the Rfam family "Bacterial small subunit ribosomal RNA", at positions 524 to 776 of the family's 1533-position model. The record is from RNAcentral.